GGUUUCCCCACACGCAGUUCCUUCCACAGUGUAACCUGCUGAAGCUUUGCCGCAGCGACUCGAAACAAUUGCACCAGUCCGCUUUGCGGGCAACACCAUGAUAUCUCACUGGGACUUCCAUCCUGCCUGUCAGGUGUGGACACCAGUGGCCUGUGCAGCACAGGUUCACAGAUCAAACAAUGGUGGCCAACAGCUCUGCUUGCCUGAACUGGUUGGUUAAGAUAUGACCGGUCUUCACUGUAACCAGCUGGAGAGCACAUGUUCCGUAGGUGAACCUGCGGAAGGAUCAUUACAGAGUUAGGGUCUUUUCGGCCCAACCUCCAACCCUAUGUGUACCUACCUUUGUUGCUUUGGCGGGCCUGUUGAGGCAACUCACCGAUGGCCACAGGCUCUUGAGCGCCCGUCAAAGACCCAUCAAACUCCGUUAAUUGUGCUGUCUGAGUACCAAUACAAUAGUUAAAACUUUCAACAACGGAUCUCUUGGUUCUGGCAUCGAUGAAGAACGCAGCGAAAUGCGAUAAGUAAUGUGAAUUGCAGAAUUCAGUGAAUCAUCGAAUCUUUGAACGCACAUUGCGCCCCUCGGUAUUCCGAGGGGCAUGCCUGUUCGAGCGUCAUUACACCACUCAAGCUCGGCUUGGUAUUGGGCCUUCGUCCUCUGUGGACGUGCCUGAAAAUUAGCGGCGGCACGGCCCCGGCUUCAAGCAGCAUUAGUUUUAUCCUUUGCUUUGAAAGCCCGGGUCCGAGUCAGCCGGACAACCCUCAAUGUUUUCUCAAAGGUUGACCUCGGAUCAGGUAGGGAUACCCGCUGAACUUAAGCAUAUCAAUAAGCGGAGGAAAAGAAACCAACAGGGAUUGCCUCAGUAACGGCGAGUGAAGCGGCAACAGCUCAAAUUUGAAAUCUGGCUCUUUCAGGGUCCGAGUUGUAAUUUGUAGAGGAUGCUUCGGGUACGGCUCCGGUCUAAGUUCCUUGGAACAGGACGUCACAGAGGGUGAGAAUCCCGUACGUGACCGGCCUCCACGCCCGUGUGAAGCUCCUUCGACGAGUCGAGUUGUUUGGGAAUGCAGCUCAAAAUGGGUGGUAAAUUUCAUCUAAAGCUAAAUAUUGGCCAGAGACCGAUAGCGCACAAGUAGAGUGAUCGAAAGAUGAAAAGCACUUUGGAAAGAGAGUCAAACAGUACGUGAAAUUGUUGAAAGGGAAGCGCUUGCAACCAGACUUGCCUGCGGGUGAUCAGCUGGUAUUUUUACCGGUGCACUCGCCCGUGGUCAGGCCAGCAUCGGUUUGGGCGGCUGGAUAAAGUCCCCCGGAAUGUAGCUCCUUUCGGGGAGUGUUAUAGCCGGGGGUGCAAUGCUGCCCGCCUGGAUCGAGGACCGCGCUUCGGCU
This 1381-nucleotide small RNA is filed under the name Acarospora badiofusca. RNAcentral describes it as "eukaryotic LSU rRNA". The stretch from base 779 to 1381 matches the Rfam family "Eukaryotic large subunit ribosomal RNA", at positions 1 to 607 of the family's 3401-position model. Lineage: Eukaryota; Fungi; Ascomycota; Lecanoromycetes; Acarosporales; Acarosporaceae. The record is from RNAcentral.